AGACCAUGAUGAGAGCACUGCUUAAACAAGUCCUUGUAUCGUUCCUAGGACUCAUACAAUGAUUCAAAAUCUAGCUACAUAAAUAAUGUGAUAUCAUUCCUCAUUUU
Molecule: small nucleolar RNA, 107 nt
Filed under: Theobroma cacao (cacao)
Lineage: Eukaryota; Viridiplantae; Streptophyta; Magnoliopsida; Malvales; Malvaceae
Description: Plant small nucleolar RNA R71
Rfam family: Plant small nucleolar RNA R71
About the family: R71 is a member of the C/D box family of snoRNAs containing the C (UGAUGA) and D (CUGA) box motifs. Multiple nearly identical copies of this snoRNA have been identified in Arabidopsis, and it is thought to function as a 2'-O-ribose methylation guide for 18S ribosomal RNA.
Source: Rfam by way of RNAcentral